Molecule: non-coding RNA, 236 nt
Filed under: uncultured Cognaticolwellia sp.
Lineage: Bacteria; Pseudomonadati; Pseudomonadota; Gammaproteobacteria; Alteromonadales; Colwelliaceae
Description: Group I catalytic intron
Rfam family: Group I catalytic intron
About the family: Group I catalytic introns are large self-splicing ribozymes. They catalyse their own excision from mRNA, tRNA and rRNA precursors in a wide range of organisms.
Source: RNAcentral
AGUUGUGACCUAUAGCAGUAAUGCUAUAUGGAAAAAUCGGAUGAAUUGCUGGAAAGCUACGUUUCAUUAGAAACUUGCCAAUCAGCAGCCAAGCCUAGUAAGCGUACUAGGAAGGUUCAGAGACUAGAUGGUGCAGCACGAACUUGCUGUGUAAUACAUCAUUAGCGUCCGACACCCUACCGCCUAAAUUCGUUUUAGUCGGGGGUGAUGAUAUAGUCCAGGCCUUUACGAAAGUA